This 586-nucleotide ribosomal RNA is filed under the name uncultured bacterium. RNAcentral's name for it is "bacterial SSU rRNA". It matches the Rfam family "Bacterial small subunit ribosomal RNA", at positions 338 to 941 of the family's 1533-position model. The record is from RNAcentral.
CCUACGGGAGGCAGCAGUGGGGAAUAUUGGACAAUGGGCGCAAGCCUGAUCCAGCAAUGCCGCGUGAGUGAUGAAGGCCUUAGGGUCGUAAAGCUCUUUUACCAGGGAUGAUAAUGACAGUACCUGGAGAAUAAGCUCCGGCUAACUCCGUGCCAGCAGCCGCGGUAAUACGGAGGGAGCUAGCGUUGUUCGGAAUUACUGGGCGUAAAGCGUACGUAGGCGGUUAUUCAAGUCAGAGGUGAAAGCCCGGGGCUCAACCCCGGAACGGCCUUUGAAACUAGGUAGCUAGAAUCUUGGAGAGGUCAGUGGAAUUCCGAGUGUAGAGGUGAAAUUCGUAGAUAUUCGGAAGAACACCAGUGGCGAAGGCGACUGACUGGACAAGUAUUGACGCUGAGGUACGAAAGCGUGGGGAGCAAACAGGAUUAGAUACCCUGGUAGUCCACGCCGUAAACGAUGAUAACUAGCUGUUCGGGCACUUGGUGCUUGAGUGGCGCAGCUAACGCAUUAAGUUAUCCGCCUGGGGAGUACGGUCGCAAGAUUAAAACUCAAAGAUAUGACGNGNGAGAGCGACGAGCACAGGAGGUAG